This 667-nucleotide long non-coding RNA is filed under the name Carica papaya (papaya). RNAcentral describes it as "long non-coding RNA (CPAP_LNC007667)". The record is from RNAcentral. Lineage: Eukaryota; Viridiplantae; Streptophyta; Magnoliopsida; Brassicales; Caricaceae.
AACUCUAUUCAACCAUUCUGUCGGGUCAUCACCAAAAAAGUGGAGAAGUCGAGCUUCGCCAUGCGGGAAUGGAACGAUGGUUGGCUUCCUUCGGUUCUCUCAGGGUAGUCUUUUCUGUUUGUUUGUGCAGGAAGUGGGUGAUUCAUAUGGUGGCUGCUGGAUCCUUCUCAAUUAUGUACGAGAGUAUCAGUCAACCGUCGAAUAGCGUCCUCCAAUUGGUGGAGUUUGUCAACUGUACCCAGCUCCAUUCGACUCAACUAAUCUUGCAUAUUGCCAAAACUAGUCUCCAGGUUUUCGAUCCUCUCUUUGUUGGUUGACAUAAACUCUUCUCUGAUACCACUGAUGCGGUCUCAAUCAAAACAGUAAGAAAGAAUGAAAAUUGUUCUCUACUUAAGGUGCGAAGUAAACAACAUGUUCUGAAUUUUACUAUCUACCUUCUUGCUAAACGGUGGCUAGAUUUAUAGGCAACUGAAGCCUACAAUUCCGUCAUUACAACUGAUAGAGGAAAAACUAAAAAAGAAAGAUCAGUAAAACUAAAGUAGUGGAGUGGGUGUGGAUCGUGUGCAGGUGCGGAGUGGAGUGAGGUGGGUCGUAUACGGGUGCGUUAGAAUAUGGCAGAUUGUUCAGUGAGAUGGUUGCUGCAUUUUCUCAGACUUCUCUGAAUCGN